This 398-nucleotide ribosomal RNA is filed under the name uncultured bacterium. Its description in RNAcentral is "bacterial SSU rRNA". It matches the Rfam family "Bacterial small subunit ribosomal RNA", at positions 958 to 1351 of the family's 1533-position model. The record is from RNAcentral.
AACGCGAAGAACCUUACCAAGGCUUGACAUCCCCUGCAUAGGAUGGAAACAUUUGAAAUCGUAGCAAUACGACAGGGAGACAGGUGGUGCAUGGUUGUCGUCAGCUCGUGUCGUGAGAUGUUGGGUUAAGUCCCGCAACGAGCGCAACCCUUGUGGAUAGUUGCCAUCAUUAAGUUGGGCACUCUAUUCAGACUGCCGUGGACAACACGGAGGAAGGUGGGGAUGACGUCAGAUCAUCACGCCCCUUAUGUCUUGGGCUACACACGUGCUACAAUGGUCGUUACAGAGAGAAGCGAACCGGCAACGGGGAGCAAAUCUCAAAAAACGCGAUCCCAGUUCAGAUUGCUGGGCUGCAACUCGCCCACAUGAAGUUCGGAGCUGCUAGUAAUCGCGAAUCA